UUUUAAGGAGGGUUGUCUAAACAAUCCAUGAGAAAGUUUGAGCUAAAUAACUCAUCAUCUAAUCACAUUAGAAAUAAGUGAGUUGGAAAUAUAUUAAUAAAUAAAAUAUAGAAAUUCUAGCUCACUCAUUUUCAAUGUGAUUGGAUGAUGAGUUAUUUAACCCAAACUUUCACAUAGAUCAUUUAGACAACUCAUUUUAAGG
Molecule: microRNA precursor, 202 nt
Filed under: Lotus japonicus
Lineage: Eukaryota; Viridiplantae; Streptophyta; Magnoliopsida; Fabales; Fabaceae
Description: miR11108v stem-loop (lja-MIR11108v)
Source: miRBase by way of RNAcentral